UAGUGGGCUCUUGUGGUGGAUGUGUCUCAUAGGAUAAGGUACGAACAUGUUGUCCACCUUCUCGACUUAAAUGGUCAUGACCAUACUGAGGUGAUUGAGAGAGAACUUUGUUUGGAAAUGAAAUUGCUUCAUCCUUAGUAGUGUUAUUAGACAUAUAUGGAUCUGUCACCAUUUGAUCAUACCCACUAAGCAUGGAAGAAAUCAUUAGUGAUGGCCUAUUGUCCAUUUCUUCAAAAGUGUUCCUAUUAUUACCAAUGGAGGUACUGUCCGAAAAAU
RNAcentral lists this long non-coding RNA (276 nucleotides) under Solanum tuberosum (potato). RNAcentral describes it as "long non-coding RNA (STUB_LNC000919)". The record is from RNAcentral. Lineage: Eukaryota; Viridiplantae; Streptophyta; Magnoliopsida; Solanales; Solanaceae.